AUCUGGCACCUUCGGUGCUCCGAGAUUGUAAUUUGAAGAUUGUAACCUUGGGGUUGGCUCUUGUCUAUGUUUCUUGGAACAGGACGUCACAGAGGGUGAGAAUCCCGUGCGAUGAGAUGCCCAAUCCUAUGUAAGGUGCUUUCGAAGAGUCGAGUUGUUUGGGAAUGCAGCUCUAAGUGGGUGGUAAAUUCCAUCUAAAGCUAAAUAUUGGCGAGAGACCGAUAGCGAACAAGUACAGUGAUGGAAAGAUGAAAAGAACUUUGAAAAGAGAGUGAAAAAGUACGUGAAAUUGUUGAAAGGGAAGGGUUUGAGAUCAGACUCGAUAUUUUGUGAGCCUUGCCUUCGUGGCGGGGUGACCCGCAGCUUAUCGGGCCAGCAUCGGUUUGGGCGGUAGGAUAAUGGCGUAGGAAUGUGACUUUGCUUCGGUGAAGUGUUAUAGCCUGCGUUGAUGCUGCCUGCCUAGACCGAGGACUGCGAUUUUAUCAAAGGAUGCUGGCAUAAUGAUCCCAAAC
This 512-nucleotide ribosomal RNA is filed under the name Meyerozyma caribbica. Its description in RNAcentral is "eukaryotic LSU rRNA". It matches the Rfam family "Eukaryotic large subunit ribosomal RNA", at positions 119 to 645 of the family's 3401-position model. The record is from RNAcentral. Lineage: Eukaryota; Fungi; Ascomycota; Pichiomycetes; Serinales; Debaryomycetaceae.